Molecule: transfer RNA, 74 nt
Filed under: Gossypium hirsutum (cotton)
Lineage: Eukaryota; Viridiplantae; Streptophyta; Magnoliopsida; Malvales; Malvaceae
Also listed under: 1 other name
Rfam family: tRNA
About the family: Transfer RNA (tRNA) molecules are approximately 80 nucleotides in length. Their secondary structure includes four short double-helical elements and three loops (D, anti-codon, and T loops).
Source: Rfam by way of RNAcentral
CGCGGGAUGGAGCAGUUUGGUAGCUCGCAAGGCUCAUAACCUUGAGGUAAUGGGUUCAAAUCCCGAUCCUGCAA